RNAcentral lists this ribosomal RNA (817 nucleotides) under uncultured Staphylococcus sp. RNAcentral's name for it is "bacterial SSU rRNA". It matches the Rfam family "Bacterial small subunit ribosomal RNA", at positions 84 to 884 of the family's 1533-position model. Lineage: Bacteria; Bacillati; Bacillota; Bacilli; Caryophanales; Staphylococcaceae. The record is from RNAcentral.
CUCUGAUGUUAGCGGCGGAGGGGGUGAGUAACACGUGGAUAACCUACCUAUAAGACUGGGAUAACUUCGGGAAACCCGGAGCUAAUACCGGAUAAUAUUUUGAACCGCAUGGUUCAAAAGUGAAAGACGGUCUUGCUGUCACUUAUAGAUGGAUCCGCGCUGCAUUAGCUAGUUGGUAAGGUGAACGGCUUACCAAGGCAACGAUGCAUAGCCGACCUGAGAGGGUGAUCGGCCACACUGGAACUGAGACACGGUCCAGACUCCUACGGGAGGCAGCAGUAGGGAAUCUUCCGCAAUGGGCGAAAGCCUGACGGAGCAACGCCGCGUGAGUGAUGAAGGUCUUCGGAUCGUAAAACUCUGUUAUUAGGGAAGAACAUAUGUGUAAGUAACUGUGCACAUCUUGACGGUACCUAAUCAGAAAGCCACGGCUAACUACGUGCCAGCAGCCGCGGUAAUACGUAGGUGGCAAGCGUUAUCCGGAAUUAUUGGGCGUAAAGCGCGCGUAGGCGGUUUUUUAAGUCUGAUGUGAAAGCCCACGGCUCAACCGUGGAGGGUCAUUGGAAACUGGAAAACUUGAGUGCAGAAGAGGAAAGUGGAAUUCCAUGUGUAGCGGUGAAAUGCGCAGAGAUAUGGAGGAACACCAGUGGCGAAGGCGACUUUCUGGUCUGUAACUGACGCUGAUGUGCGAAAGCGUGGGGAUCAAACAGGAUUAGAUACCUGGUAGUCCACGCCGUAAACGAUGAGUCCUCAAGUGUUCGGGGGUUUCCGCCCCUUAGUGCUGCAGCCAACGCAUUAAGCACUCCGCCUGGGGAGUACG